GUGUCAGCAGCCGCGGUAAUACCGGCGGCCCGAGUGGCGGCCACUUUUAUUGGGCCUAAAGCGUCCGUAGCCGGGCUGGUAAGUCCUCCGGGAAAUCUGGCGGCUCAACCGUCAGACUGCCGGAGGAUACUGCCAGCCUAGGGACCGGGAGAGGCCGGGGGUAUUCCCGGGGUAGGGGUGAAAUCCUGUAAUCCCGGGAGGACCACCUGUGGCGAAGGCGCCCGGCUGGAACGGGUCCGACGGUGAGGGACGAAGGCCAGGGGAGCGAACCGGAUUAGAGACCCGGGUAGUCCUGGCUGUAAACGAUGCGGACUAGGUGUCACCGAAGCUACGAGCUUCGGUGGUGCCGGAGGGAAGCCGUUAAGUCCGCCGCCUGGGGAGUACGGCCGCAAGGCUGAAACUCAAAUGAAUUGGCGGGG
This 419-nucleotide ribosomal RNA is filed under the name uncultured prokaryote. RNAcentral describes it as "bacterial SSU rRNA". It matches the Rfam family "Archaeal small subunit ribosomal RNA", at positions 455 to 873 of the family's 1478-position model. The record is from RNAcentral.